AUGUCUUUGUAUCCGUUGCUUAAUGGUAACAUCGAUAGAAAGCACCGGGGCGCCCUAUUGGAAGCGGGCAACAACUUAGACGUGUUGGUCACUCGUACCCCAAAGACUAACUGGCUGAUACACGAUUCAUGGGUUGAUAGGUUAAGUUGGGCUAGACUUCUACCCUUGGCACGGCUGGUUGAGGGUACAUUAGAUGAGUGGAUUGAUGGUCCGGACUUAGAUGAGGCAGGUGAACCAGUGCAGUUACACAAGAGGCAAGUGAAACGUUUCUCUUAUGACAAGUCACUCCUUACCUGCUUAGUAGAUAGAUGGAGGCCAGAGACACAUACGUUUCACUUUCCGUGGGGAGAGAUGGCGCCUACUUUACAGGAUGUGUCUUACUUGUUGGGAUUACCUCUGGCCGGUGCUGCCAUAGGUCCCUUAGAGGCAGAAUCUGGGUGGCAAACAGCGAUGCAGGCCCGUUUUUUGGCUGUGGUCCCGACUGCUAGGGCCAUAGACAACGAUCCUCAUGGACCUCUUUUUAGAUGGUUGAGCCAGUUUCAGAUUGUCUCGUUAGGAUAUCCCGAUGUUCAGUUGUCGGAGGCACAGAUUGACCGGUCCCUAGAGGCAUAUAUUCUUUGGCUGUUCGGCAAGACGAUGUUUACGGAGAACCACGUGACCACUGUCGAUGCACGACUCAUCGGUAUUGCACGAGAGAUAGCUGACGCACGUUGCCCUGCGGAUAUUCUACAGAGGAGUUUUGGUUCUGCUGUGUUAGCGGCUACGUACAGAGGCCUGUGCAAAGCUUGCUUGUUGAAGUCUAGAAAAUCUGGUGUUGUUGGAUGUCCAUUAUUGUUGCAGCUCUGGUCAUACGAGAGAUUCCCUAUUGGACGACCCUAUGUCUACGUUGAUAAACCUUUUGGUUUGGAGGACUUAGUUGGGGCUUAUGUGCCUGCUAUCGGCGAUUUACCUACUAUGGGAUCUGUUUGGGCACGACGAGAGAGACAAUUUGCGCAUAGUCAGGUUAGGGGAUGCUACCCGUCCUUCACGGUGCAGUUUGAUAGUUUGCACGAGGAUCAAGUUAUCUGGGAGCCAUACUCGGCUCAGGCUAUAUCAUCGAGGUACCCAGUUGGGAUUUCUGGAUUAUGCACUAGAGAUCGGCACUUUUGGAUGACCAAGGCCAAGUUGGUGUUCGAUGUGACGGUUGAGGAGAUGUCUAUUCAUAGGGUGAUGAGACAGUUCGGUCUAUAUCAAGAGCCUGAGAUUCCAGAUAUUCCACACUUGCCAGACCACGUGCACAAGGACAGUCGCCUAGGAGGAAACAAGUCGAUGGAUUACUGGCUUAAGAGCGUUACCCCUUACGUUGACGAAUGGACUACCGCUGCGACAAAUAUCUGGGGUGAGGUUCGGGCCUUUAACUGGGAAAUGUUCGGGUUGUAUCUGCAGCGUUACCGGCAUACAACGAGGAUCUACUUGGUUCCAUCAGCUGCUCCUGAUCAGAUCGAAGCCCCUCUCACCAGCGAUAUGUACCCAACUUCCUCUGUUGUGGGAACCAGACACCACGCGGAUGACUUGACAGUACAGGCGCGAGAGGAGGUUUCCGCUUUAAUGCGGCGCUAUCAGAGGGGAGAAACUAUCCCACCGCGAGAGGGCGUCUCAUGGUUGAGGCGUCUUGAUGACAAGCUACGCGGGAUUUAG
RNAcentral lists this ribosomal RNA (1677 nucleotides) under Triticum aestivum (bread wheat). Its description in RNAcentral is "partial small subunit ribosomal RNA". The record is from RNAcentral. Lineage: Eukaryota; Viridiplantae; Streptophyta; Magnoliopsida; Poales; Poaceae.